GACAGAGGUGCCGAGCGUUAGGCGGAAUCACUGGGCUUAAAGCGUGUGUAGGCGGAGUUCUAAGUACCUUGUGAAAUCCCACGGCUUAACCGUGGAACUGCUUGGUAUACUGGUUCUCUUGGGCCAUCUAGGGGCUACUGGAACAAACGGUGGAGCGGUGAAAUGCGUAGAUAUCGCUUGGAACGCCGAAGGUGAAAACAGACUGCUGGGGUUGCGCCGACGCUGAGACACGAAAGCCAGGGGAGCAAACGGG
Molecule: ribosomal RNA, 253 nt
Filed under: uncultured bacterium
Lineage: Bacteria
Description: partial 16S ribosomal RNA
Rfam family: Bacterial small subunit ribosomal RNA
Source: RNAcentral